Molecule: long non-coding RNA, 1017 nt
Filed under: Micromonas commoda
Lineage: Eukaryota; Viridiplantae; Chlorophyta; Mamiellophyceae; Mamiellales; Mamiellaceae
Description: long non-coding RNA (MCOM_LNC000100)
Source: RNAcentral
ACACCGUCUUUUCGUUACCUCCGGCUGGAUCGAUGAGAAUCUUCGACAGACCGUAAUCUGCCAGUUUGACACGCGCGUCGGGCGACUUGGAGCUGAGCAUGAAGUUCUCAGGCUUCAAGUCCCGAUGAGCGAUCCCAUGAGCAUGCAGGUAUUCUAACCCCGUGGCUAGAUCACGAAAAAUCGUGCGUCCAACUUCUUCGUUGAAAUGUCCGCUGUUGACUAUGUGGUCAAGUAAGGUGCCACCCGUGACGAGCUCCAUCACCAGAAGUACUCGGGUUGGCUCGUCGAACCAUUCUCUCAAGCAGAUGCAGUUCGGUUGCUUGACACGACACAAGAUGUCGAUUUCAGUUUGCAGCGAGUGGUCACCAGGAUCGACUUUACUCUUUUCGAUCACCUUGACGGCCCAUUUGGAAUGAUCCGAUUUGCACGUGACCAAGCGCACCACCCCGAAAGCGCCCUCGCCCAAGAUUGAGCCAACCUUGUAAAAAUCCUUGAAGCUUCCCUUCUUGUUGAGCUUGACGUGACCAAACUCACCCCCACUCCCUGCUGGGUCCAGCAGGAUAUCGUCCAUUUCAAAUAUCGCGUCGAUGAGGCUCAGGACGGUGGGCGAUGGUCGCCGCGCUUUAGCUCAGCAUGGCGACCGUCAGGGACGCGACCUUUUAUCUGAUGCCUUGACAGCUGCGGUGUGUCACAUUCCCGAGACUCGAGCCGGAAAUAUAUAUAUUACGAAGGUAGUAUGAUUGCGGUCGGUUGCAGUUUUUUGUUUGCUUGCCAACUCAGAUCGAAUGUGUUAGGAGUGUUAGAACGUGUGAAGCCUGCGGUCGGUCGUCGUGUGUGAGCAUGGCUACAUCUCCUUAUAUCUGGACUAUCGCCACGAGUGCUUUACAAGAAGUAGAUAGACAAUUACAAGCUGAGAGGGCAAGGAAUGAUGAUUUACAAGUGAGAUUACAAGCGCUUGAAGCUAGGAUUGAGGCGCUGGAAAAGAACUAAUGCCAUCUACCUUCGUGGUGAGACUAG